Molecule: ribosomal RNA, 408 nt
Filed under: uncultured bacterium
Lineage: Bacteria
Description: bacterial SSU rRNA
Rfam family: Bacterial small subunit ribosomal RNA
Source: RNAcentral
AUUGAACGCUGGCGGCAGGCCUAACACAUGCAAGUCGAAUGGUAACAGGAAACAGCUUGCUGUUUCGCUGACGAGUGGCGGACGGGUGAGUAAUGUCUGGGAAACUGCCUGAUGGAGGGGGAUAACUACUGGAAACGGUAGCUAAUACCGCAUAACGUCGCAAGACCAAAGAGGGGGACCUUCGGGCCUCUUGCCAUCAGAUGUGCCAGAUGGGAUUAGCUAGUAGGUGGGGUAACGGCUCACCUAGGCGGCGAUCCCUAGCUGGUCUGAGAGGAUAACCAGCCACACUGGAACUGAGACACGGUCCAGACUCCUACGGGAGGCAGCAGUGGGGAACAUUGCACAAUGGGCGCAAGCCUGAUGCAGCCAUGCCGCGUGUAUGAAGAAGGCCUUCGGUUGUAAAGUAAC